This 788-nucleotide ribosomal RNA is filed under the name uncultured Chloroflexota bacterium. Its description in RNAcentral is "bacterial SSU rRNA". It matches the Rfam family "Bacterial small subunit ribosomal RNA", at positions 83 to 884 of the family's 1533-position model. Lineage: Bacteria; Bacillati; Chloroflexota. The record is from RNAcentral.
GGGGUGAAUAAAGCGGCGGACGGGUGAGUAACACGUAGCUAACCUGCCCUUCGGUCCGGAAUAACGGUUCGAAAGGACCGCUAAUACCUGAUACGCCGGAAGGUCUAUCCGAUUUUCCGUGAAAGCGGAGCAAUCCGCGCCGGAGGAGGGGGCUGCGGCCUAUUAGCUAGUUGGUGAGGUAACGGCCCACCAAGGCGACGAUGGGUAGCUGAUCUGAGAGGAUGGUCAGCCACACUGGGACUGCGACACGGCCCAGACUCCUACGGGAGGCAGCAGUUAAGAAUCUUGCACAAUGGGCGAAAGCCUGAUGCAGCGACGCCGCGUGGGUGAUGAAGGCCUUCGGGUCGUAAAACCCUUUUCUGGGGAACGAGCAAGGACGGUACCCCAGGAAUAAGCCUCGGCUAACUAUGUGCCAGCAGCCGCGGUAACACAUAGGAGGCAAGCGUUAUCCGGAUUUAUUGGGCGUAAAGUGCGUUGAGGCGGUUCUGUAAGUUGGACGUGAAAGCUCCUGGCUUAACUGGGAGAGGCCGUCAAUACUGCAGGGCUUGAGGACAGCAGAGGGGGGUGGAAUUCCCGGUGUAGUGGUGAAAUGCGUAGAUAUCGGGAGGAACACCAGUGGCGAAUGCGGCCCCCUGGGCUGUUCCUGACGCUGAAGGCGAAAGCUAGGGGAGCGAACGGGAUUAGACACCCCGGUAGUCCUAGCUGUACACGAUGGAUACUAGGUGUGGGGGGUUAAAAUUCUCCCUGUGCCAAAGCUAACGCGUUAAGUAUCCCGCCUGAGGACUACG